AGUGAACGCUGGCGGUAGGCCUAACACAUGCAAGUCGAACGGCAGCACAGUAAGAGCUUGCUCUUACGGGUGGCGAGUGGCGGACGGGUGAGGAAUACAUCGGAAUCUACUUUUUCGUGGGGGAUAACGUAGGGAAACUUACGCUAAUACCGCAUACGACCUACGGGUGAAAGCAGGGGAUCUUCGGACCUUGCGCGAUUGAAUGAGCCGAGGUCGGAUUAGCUAGUUGGCGGGGUAAAGGCCCACCAAGGCGACGAUCCGUAGCUGGUCUGAGAGGAUGAUACGCCACACUGGAACUGGGGCACGGUCCAGACUACUACGGGAGGCAGCAGUGGGGGAUAUUGGACAAUGGGCGCAAGCCUGAUCCAGCCAUACCGCGUGGGUGAAGAAGGCCUUCGGGUUGUAAAGCCCUUUUGUUGGGAAAGAAAAGCAGCAGGUUAAUACCCCGCUGUUCUGACGGUACCCAAAGAAUAAGCACCGGCUAACUUCGUG
RNAcentral lists this ribosomal RNA (492 nucleotides) under uncultured bacterium. Its description in RNAcentral is "partial 16S ribosomal RNA". It matches the Rfam family "Bacterial small subunit ribosomal RNA", at positions 29 to 507 of the family's 1533-position model. The record is from RNAcentral.